This is a long non-coding RNA of Neofelis nebulosa (Clouded leopard), 5902 nucleotides long. RefSeq lists it as uncharacterized. NCBI's taxonomy places the organism in Eukaryota, Metazoa, Chordata, Mammalia, Carnivora, Felidae. The record is from RefSeq and is a predicted model, not a curated record. The transcript has 9 exons.
UGGUUGUUUAAACACAUAUGACUAGUUGCUCAUUUUAUUAUAAGUCAUUGUGUAUAGAGACAAUGAACAAUAACCUAUACAUUCAUUCAACUCAUUUAUUAGUGAUUUAUUAUAUUUUAGUACUCAUUUUAUUUACUUCAUUUUAAUUACUCGUAUUUAUUAACUCAGUCAUCACACAUGAGCCUGGGUGUUAGUCUUCAUGUAAUAUAAAACAAUGAUGAAGAUUUGGCCCCUGUCCUCUUUGAGCUGCAAAGAGCAAGGAGGACUCCUCCACAGACCAGUGUAGUCCAAGGUAGAAUGGGGGUAGGUCAAAGGGCUUUGAGAGUCAAAGGGUGGAAAGUCACGUGUCUGCCUGGAUGAAGACUUACAGAAUGAGUAGGACUGUCGUCAGUGAGGACGAGGAUGUUAAGUGCAGGCUAAGCCGCUGUACCAAAGAGGUCCACCAGACAGAAGCUUUACUACACUGGUAGUUCAUUUCUCCCUCAACAGUCAAGGUAGGUGAUCCAAGUCUCUCUGCUCUGCCCUCAAUAUGAGGUUUCCACUUGUGUGUUCAAAGUGACCGCUCCAGUCCUCCCCGUUGCCAGCCAGAAGGCAGGGAGAUAGAGGCCAAGAUGAACCACUCAGUCGUUUUAAGGAUAUAACUGGGAAGUUGCUUAUGUUGCUUGUAUCCAUGUCGUGUUGGCCAGUGCAUAGUCCCAUGACCACCCCCAGUGGAAAAGGAGUCUGGGAAAUGUAGUGUUUCACGGGGUAGCCCCAUGCCCAGCCAAAACUAUUACUUUUGAAGGAGAAAACAGAUUCGGGGAAGGUAAUUAACAGUCUGCCACAGGGAGAAAGAGAAGGAUUCCAUGUGAGGAGAAAAACUGUGAAAGAGAGAGCUGGUGGAUCAAAUUCUCAGCUGACUGGAAGCAAUCGGGGACAUAGAUUUGGAUUUAGUAGAAAAGAAGUGAAAACUUAAAGAAGAAAUGCACUGUCUGGAGAGCUAGAAUUCUUCACCUCUGAAAAAACAGUCAAGAAAAAUGGUAAGAAGAAUUUACACUCAAAGGGAGGAGGUACAAAAGGUCAGCCUUUCUGACUGGUGGCUGUGUGAUUGGAGGUGGGGCGGAGAGGAGAGGUACGGGAGACUCGCAGCCUAGAAACUGUUCAGAAGACGACAAUACUAGCCUGGACGUGAGGAAAUUCGGGUGGGAGCAGAAAGAGUGGACUGGAAGGAACGAAGUAAGAGAGAAAAACAGCUUGGUCGUCCACAUGUGUGCCUCCCGGCAGGCAGCUGGGGGCAGGGAAGGGCAGAGCUGGAGGGCACCAGAGCCUGGCCUCCUGAGGGGUUCAGAAUGGGGGGGAGGGGGCCUCCAGAAAGCUCUGCCUUUGCCGUGGUCGGGCACGGGCUUUGCUGCAUCUUCCCAAGCCCGACGAAUAGAACCCGGUUCUUUCUGGGUAAAACAAAGAGCAUCACAAGAAGCUCUGUUCCUGAGAAGGCGUUUUGUUCAUGAGCAAGUGUUUUUUCUCCAUCCGUCCCGAUUUUCAUUUCUGUUUACGUUCAGUAAGAGCAUUACUGAAUGUUAAAAUAAAGUGGCCUGUUUUCCCCUGCCCCUUCCUCGGUCACCAGAGGUAGGUAAUCUGUUCUGGAAAUGCACCUGUUCUCUGGAUUUAUAUGGGCUCUGAUAGGACAUGUUUGUGUAACAAUAAAAAUCAUUCCCUUUGGCAGAUACCUUGAUGCCCUGUGUUCUGUUCACGAGGGGUAUUUCGCAUCUGUUCAGUAGUAGCAUUUCCCCCACUAACCAGAUUCCCUAGGGUGGCCACGUUGUAUUCCAAAUCAAGGAAAUCAGAGCUUGUCACUCCUAACGGUUGGUCAGGGCCACGUCUAAAGGGUCGGAGCCCUAGAUGGAAGUACGCAAGCAACCCCUGCAGAUCCCCAAGAGAGGAGAGGCAGACAGUUGGCAAGGGCCUCCAGCGAAGGUCCUUCUUCCCCUCUCUGUCUAAGGCAUUCCCGUCUGGAAGGCAAGGACAUGCAUAAUGUCGGCGCAAUCGUAGCAGCUUCGUUGUACUGCUCGUUGUACUGAGCACCUGCUUUGUGCCAAGCGGUGGCCUGGGGACUUAGGUGCAUGAUCUCAUUUGUCCCUCAUGAUCGUCCUAUGUGUCAGGUUCUCUCUACCUCCCUUUUUAAAGAAGAGGGACCAGAAAGGUCAAGUGACUUGAGCAAGGUCACAUAGGAUUCGAACCUCACUCUGCUGGAUUCCAGAAUCCAAGCUCUUAAUUACUAUACUGAACUGCCUAGAUGGAGUAUGUAUUCUGAUGCUGUAUUGGCUGUUUUUCCGCUCUUGGGCAUUGUCAGCCAGGACGAUGAUGCCACAGGGGGAGGGUUUCCAGGAGGAGAUCGGGAAGAACAGGAGCAGGCAGAGCCUGAACCUGGGCCCUGGAGGGAGGUGCAGGGGACAGAAGGGAGCUUAGCUGAGGGAGCACAUGAGUCAAGUGGGGGGAUUCACUCCCAGGGAAGUUGGGUGGCAUGGGGGUGAAGAGCACAGGUUCUGAAAGCAGGGCGCCUGAGUUCACCCUUGCUGUGUGGCCUUGGCCAAGGUAGUCACCCUUUCUGUGCCUCAGUUUUCCCCUCUGUAAAAUGAGCAUAAGAAUAGUAUCCAUCUCAUAGGAUUGUCAUGAGGACUCGGCAAGGGAAUAUAUCUGAGACAGAGGCUGUUGCCCCCGCAUACCCCUCUUUCUUCUUUUUCCAUAGUAAUGACUCCCAAUUUUGAGCUAGACAUGUGGCCUCCCAGAAUAAAGACUAUACUUUCCAGCCUCCUUUGCAGCUCUAUCUGGUCUUAUAAGUAUGGCCAAUGAGAUAUAAGCAGAUGUUACGUGGCCACUACCUGGAGAGGCCAGCUGGUAUCUACUCUUUAUGCCCUUUUUCUUUUUUGUCCUUCUUCCAAUCUGCUGCCUGGAAUGGUGGAUGUGAUGUCUAGCAUUCUGCCUGCCAUGUCGAGAAUGAGGCCAAGAGUCUUUUUUUUUUUUUAAGUUUAUUUAUUUAUUUUGAGAGAGUGUCAGUGGGGGAGGGGUAGAGAGAGCGGAGAGAGAGAGAGAAUCCCAAGCAGGCUCUGCUCUGUGAGCACAGAGCCUGACACGGGGCUCAAACUCACGAGCCAUGAGAGCAAGACCCGAGCUGAAGUCAAGAGUCGAACGUUCGACUGACUGAGCCCCCCCAGGCACCCCUGAGGCCAAUACUCUUAAGGAUAAUGGAGCUGUGAGCUGGAUGGAGCCUGUGUCCCUGAAGAGAUCAUGAACAGAGCCACUAGACCAGUCGUUGGCCACCUACUUCUGUACUUUUACAGGAGAGAAAAACAACUAUCUUAGGUUACUUUAUUGUAAGAAUACGGUUUACAAUACUUGUGACAUAGAAAAUAGGUGCUAGUCGACGGUUUCUAUCACAGCUUCCUCACUGCAAAAAGGAGAUAGGUCGACCUCUCCCGUGUUGUGCGAUUAAGUGAGAUGAUAUAAAUGGAACGCCUUGCAUGGUGCCUGGCACGUGAAACCGCGUUCCAAGAUCAGGGAGGCAAGUGUCAGAAGGAGAAAACGGCCAGCGUCUCGAGCUCAGAAGAGAACAAGCCCCUGCUAUUCCCUCCACGACAACCACGGCAACAAUUGCCCCGGCCGCGACGGAGCUGGCUUCCCCUGCCCUUGGGUACCACACGACGUCCCGCACCCCCGUCAUCUUUCUGUGGGAUUUCUCUCCACACGCUCCACGGAGGAACCGGGUUCGGGUUACAUCGCAUCUUGUCAAUUCCACCAUACUGGCUGGCGUGCUUUCUUUCCCCGAGGCAAAAACAAAGUCUAGAUGAUGGAAACAGACCCGGAAGAGUCAGCAGGCAGCAAAAGGCAAGGCCUGGGAGGGAUGCUGGCCCAACUGUGCUAGGUUGGUUCCGAGGACUCGCUUCGGGACCCCUGCCUCAAAGAGCAAAGUGUAUUCCGGGAGAAGAAGCAGACAGCUUCCCGCACGUCACUAACCUUACGGAGCACCGCAGGGCAAAGACUGAGGAGACCAAAAUCUCUGGACACCCCAUGUUCUGGCUGGCGGCACACCAUCUGGUUAGCCAAGGACCUUCUUAAGCCAGGCCCCUGAAACUGAGCGUGGAACUUCCAGCAAGCUCUGGCCGAGCCGGGACCUGGCCUGAGGCCUGCAGACCCAGCACAGCCUCACACGUAGUUGAAGACCCGAGGAAUGGAUUCCACCAACAUCCAGAUGGGCAGUGAGGGGUGUCCAGAGAAAGCCACACUGUAUCUUUUGGCAAUCCGUAGACCCGGACAGAUCACUCUUCGUUGCAGGUUCAACAGGCAAGUUAUGGGCUGAGGAAAUGAUGUCUGCGGGCCUGCAACCCGGCGAGUUUGAGGACAGCCGGCCUGAGGAAGAGGCCAUCAUGGCGAGCGGAGGGGACAGGUGGCGAGAACUGGGUGUCCGGUGGCUCAGAAUGAGCCCCUCGGUCAGCCAACCUCCAUUCUGCCCCAUCUCCAUUCCUUCGAUAUGUUAAAUAAUUGUGCAAGCCGGUGCAGUUGGGCUUUUCUCUUACGACAACCAAAAGCGUCUUCCUGAUAACAAUGUUCAUAUUGUGGCUGUUGGGAGGUCCCCUUUCUGGGCUUUAUGUAGAGAAUUUGUCCCCUUUCUUGGUUCUACCUUGAAGUGUGGUGGUUAAGGAAGUCUCUGGGUUCACAUUCCACCUCUGUUUUUAUAGGCUGUGUCCAUUUAGGCAAAUCACUUCAUCUUUUGAGGUCUCAUUUCCUCAUCUGUCAAACGGGGGCCAUAAUAGUUUUCUGACUCUGGGGACAUAGGGAUUAAAUUAAAUGAGUUAAUAAAAGAAAAGCAUUGCAAACUGCCUCGCACAUCUUUGAUGCUGAAUAGGUGCUAGUUGUGAUUAGAGUCUUUUUAGUUUUUUGCUUGGAUCUCUCUCCGCCGAGGACGCUAGAAAUUCAAUUCCAACUAAUCCAAGCAAACAAAGAAAAGUCAUCAGCAGCCUCGGGCCCCGAGAUGGGGUACCGAAUCAGGAAGAGCUGUUGAAUCAAGCCCCUGAGGAUGGGAUGUGGAGCUUCUAGAUGAGAGGUUGUGGCUUCUGGCUCCCCGUAAGAAUCACCCAGAGGGUUUUUUUUUUUUUAAGUCUCUGAGGCCCAGGCUACACUCAGGCCAAUUAACUAAAAAUUUCUGGGGUCGGACCCAGACAUCAGCGGGUGUAAAGCUCAGGGGAUCCCAGCGUGCAGACGAGGCUGAGAACCACUGCGCAGACGAUCUCUUCAUCAGACUUGCUUCUCUCUGUCGGGUUCCAUUCUACAGAAAGCUCGUCCCACCAUGGCCUCAGAUGUCUACCCUCCUAUCAUAGUCUCGAUAGAAAAAAAAGAAGCAAUUAACAAAGCAUCUUUCAGUAUCUGCAUUCUGCAUGUCAGAGGAUUUGUCCUGCUUCAUCCGUCUCCUGCGGGUCCUCUUUUCUUUCUUUCUUUUUAUUUAUUUAUUUAUUUAUUUAUUUAUUUAUUUUUGAGAGAGAGAAAGAUCAGGGGAGCGGCAGAGGGAGGGAGGGAGAGAAAGAGAGAGAGAGAGAGAGAAUCUCCAGCUGUCAGCUCAGAGCCCAGUUCCAGGCUCGAACUCACAAAAUGUGAGAUCAUGACCUGAGCUGACCUUAGCUGAAAACAAGAGUCCGAUGAUUAACCGACGGAGCCACCCAGGCGCCCCCUCACCCCUAUCCCUGCUCGUCCUUCUUAUUCUGAUCACUGUUGCGGAGGGCUGGGGUACAAGCCACUCCAGUGACCAGGAAUCUUGAUCGACAGCACACCAGACGCAUUUGGGAUGAGACAGCUAUUCCCUCAAAGAUCUAAGAGGAUCGACCAGGGGAAAAUUGUAUGUAUCAUCUAAUUAAAUAAAACUGGUUACACGUCA